Cyprinus carpio carpio is the source of this 1292-nucleotide long non-coding RNA. The record is from Ensembl. Lineage: Eukaryota; Metazoa; Chordata; Actinopteri; Cypriniformes; Cyprinidae.
CUAUUGGAAUGAAAGUGGUCUCCCUAAAUUCUUUGGAUCAUGCCGAGAACAUCGAUACCAAUUAUGACAAAAUUGGCCAAACUUCCUGUCCGCCAUUUUGAUUCAUGUUGAAAACCUAAUUUUUCAAACUCCUCCUAGACCGUUAGUCCAAUUUUCACCAAAUGUGACUCAGAUCAUCUUCAGACGAUGCUGGCAAAAAGUUAUGGAUUUCGUGUCGAUAUACGAAAUGGUUUUCGUUUAGCGCACCAACGAAUUUGUUGGAAGGAUGCCAAAAUGUAUCUGAGGCUGUAUCUCUGCACAGAUUUGACAUAUUUACACCAAACGUUGCAUGAACCAUUGUCACCACAAAUUGAUCACGCCACAUCAAUUUGGUAACAGCGCCACCUAUUGGUCCGGAGUAAUAAACAUUCAUUAAUUCUUAAUUAUUAGCAUUUUUGAAAAAUUCAUAACUUUUGAUUGCAUUGACCUAUUGUAAUGAAACUGAUCUCAAAAUAUUUCUUGGGUCAUGCCAACAACAUACAUAUCAAGUAUGUCAUAAUAAGCCGAACUUUCUGUCGGCUAUUUUGAUUUAUGUUGAAAACCUACUUUUUUGCUCUCCUCAUCAACCUUUGGUCCGAUUUUCACCAAAAUCGAAUAAAAUGAUCUUCAGACUGUGCUGACAAAAUGUUAUGGAUUUUGUAUUGAUAGACAAAACCGUUUUCGCAUACUACAGCGACGAAUUUCAGGCAUGAUGCCAAAAUGACACUUCAGCCUGUAUCUCUGCAAUGCUUUGGCAUACUGACACCAAACUUUGUGUGUGGCAUUGUCACCUCACACAGAACACACCAAAAUGAUUUGAUUACAGCGCUACCUGUUGGUCAAAAGUGAUAAACCAUUUAAUCAUAAUACUAGUGCUUGUAUUUAUGAUUUUUCCGCCAUUUCAAUUACAAUCAUCCUAAAAUUGCUGUAAUUUCUCAUUGUUGCAUUUGGUCUGAUGCUCCAUGCCAUGUUUAGCUCCUCAAUUUGCAGCUGGAGUGCUUGGCCCCGCAAUUGCUGCUUGCAGCUAUAUUUAGGGGCCAAGCACCGAAGGUGCGUAGGCACCUAUUGUAUCCGUUGGCGUUAUUAUUAUUCUUCUUCUUCUUCUUCUUCUUCUUCCGCCGCAACAAGUCUAUGGCAGCCCAUAGAACCGAUUGCGGGAAAGUUGUAUAAUUUGGCACACUGAUAGAGGACAGUCCCAGCAUUAACUAUAGAAAAUUUGAAGUCUCUAACUCCAACUCUCUAGCGCCACCACUUGUCCAAAAUUUCAAUAUUUU